GACGAACGCUGGUGGCGCGCUUAACACAUGCAAGUCGAGCGAGAACCGGCCCUUCGGGGCCGGGGAAAGCGGCGAACGGGUGAGUAACACGUGGGUAAUCUGCCCUCGGCACCGGGAUAGCCCGGGGAAACCCGGAUUAAUACCGGAUUGCCCUUCCGCGUUUCGGCGCGGCAGGAAAAGGUAGCUUCGGCCUCCGGCCGAGGGUGAGCCCGCGGCGGAUUAGCUUGUUGGUGGGGUAACGGCCUACCAAGGCGACGAUCCGUAGCUGGUCUGAGAGGACGAUCAGCCACACUGGGACUGAGACACGGCCCAGACUCCUACGGGAGGCAGCAGUGGGGAAUCUUGCGCAAUGGGCGAAAGCCUGACGCAGCGACGCCGCGUGCGGGAAGAAGGCCUUCGGGUUGUAAACCGCUUUCAGGAGGGACGAAGCCACUCGGGUUAACAGCCCAGAGGGUGACGGUACCUCCAGAAGAAGCCCCGGCUAACUACGUGCCAGCAGCCGCGGUAAUACGUAGGGGGCAAGCGUUGUCCGGAUUUAUUGGGCGUAAAGAGCGUGUAGG
Molecule: ribosomal RNA, 560 nt
Filed under: uncultured bacterium #0087-1D13
Lineage: Bacteria; Bacillati; Actinomycetota; Rubrobacteria
Description: bacterial SSU rRNA
Rfam family: Bacterial small subunit ribosomal RNA
Source: RNAcentral